This 437-nucleotide ribosomal RNA is filed under the name uncultured bacterium. RNAcentral's name for it is "bacterial SSU rRNA". It matches the Rfam family "Bacterial small subunit ribosomal RNA", at positions 28 to 469 of the family's 1533-position model. The record is from RNAcentral.
GAUGAACGCUGGCGGCGUGCCUAAUACAUGCAAGUCGAACGCUUCACUUCGGUGAAGAGUGGCGAACGGGUGAGUAAUACAUAAGUAACCUGGCAUCUACAGGGGGAUAACUGAUGGAAACGUCAGCUAAGACCGCAUAGGUGUAGAGAUCGCAUGAACUCUAUAUGAAAAGUGCUACGGGACUGGUAGAUGAUGGACUUAUGGCGCAUUAGCUUGUUGGUAGGGUAACGGCCUACCAAGGCGACGAUGCGUAGCCGACCUGAGAGGGUGACCGGCCACACUGGGACUGAGACACGGCCCGGACUCCUACGGGAGGCAGCAGUAGGGAAUUUUCGGCAAUGGGGGAAACCCUGACCGAGCAACGCCGCGUGAAGGAAGAAGUAAUUCGUUAUGUAAACUUCUGUCAUAGAGGAAGAACGGUGGAUAUAGGGAAUGAU